Molecule: ribosomal RNA, 465 nt
Filed under: uncultured bacterium
Lineage: Bacteria
Description: partial 16S ribosomal RNA
Rfam family: Bacterial small subunit ribosomal RNA
Source: RNAcentral
GAUGAACGCUGGCGGCGUGCUUAAAACAUGCAAGUCGAACGGAAAGGCUCCUGCUUGCAGGGGUACUCGAGUGGCGAACGGGUGAGUAACACGUGGGUGAUCUGCCCUGCACUUCGGGAUAAGCCUGGGAAACUGGGUCUAAUACCGGAUAGGACGAUGGGUUGGAUGCCAUUGUGGAAAGUUUUUCGGUGUGGGAUGAGCUCGCGGCCUAUCAGCUUGUUGGUGGGGUAAUGGCCUACCAAGGCGUCGACGGGUAGCCGGCCUGAGAGGGUGUACGGCCACAUUGGGACUGAGAUACGGCCCAGACUCCUACGGGAGGCAGCAGUGGGGAAUAUUGCACAAUGGGCGCAAGCCUGAUGCAGCGACGCCGCGUGGGGGAUGACGGCCUUCGGGUUGUAAACUCCUUUCGCUAGGGACGAAGCGCAAGUGACGGUACCUGGAGAAGAAGCACCGGCUAACUACGUG